This 460-nucleotide ribosomal RNA is filed under the name uncultured bacterium. RNAcentral describes it as "partial 16S ribosomal RNA". It matches the Rfam family "Bacterial small subunit ribosomal RNA", at positions 338 to 795 of the family's 1533-position model. The record is from RNAcentral.
CCUACGGGUGGCAGCAGUGAGGAAUAUUGGUCAAUGGGCGCGAGCCUGAACCAGCCAAGUAGCGUGAAGGAUGACUGCCCUACGGGUUGUAAACUUCUUUUAUAAAGGAAUAAAGUGAGGCACGUGUGCCUUUUUGUAUGUACUUCAUGAAUAAGGAUCGGCUAACUCCGUGCCAGCAGCCGCGGUAAUACGGAGGAUCCGGGCGUUAUCCGGAUUUUUUUGGUUUAAAGGGAGCGUAGAGGGGUUGUUAAGUCAGUUGGUAAAGUGUGCGGCUCAACCGGAAAACUGCAAUUGAUACUGGCAGUCUUGAGUACAGUUGAGGUAGGCGGAAUGCGUGGUGUAGCGGUGAAAUGCUUAGAUAUCACGAAGAACUCCGAUUGCGAAGGCAGCUUACUAAACUGCCACUGACAUUGAUGCUCGAAAGUGUGGGUAUCAAACAGGAUUAGAUACCCUUGUAGUC